Molecule: ribosomal RNA, 253 nt
Filed under: uncultured bacterium
Lineage: Bacteria
Description: partial 16S ribosomal RNA
Rfam family: Bacterial small subunit ribosomal RNA
Source: RNAcentral
UACAGAGGUCUCAAGCGUUGUUCGGAUUCAUUGGGCGUAAAGGGUGCGUAGGUGGCUCCAUAAGUCGGGUGUGAAAUCUCGGGGCUUAACUCCGAAACUGCAUUCGAUACUGUGGUGCUUGAGGACUGGAGAGGAGACUGGAAUUCAUGGUGUAGCAGUGAAAUGCGUAGAGAUCAUGAGGAAGACCAGUGGCGAAGGCGGGUCUCUGGACAGUUCCUGACACUGAGGCACGAAGGCCAGGGGAGCAAACAGG